AUUCUUAUCACUGUUAUAAUAUCACAGGUGAAAACUGGCAGAACGGUAGGUUAUUGAACUAAUAGGCUAUUCAUUUUCAUGGAAUCCCACGUGCAAAAAAA
Molecule: long non-coding RNA, 101 nt
Organism: Sinocyclocheilus anshuiensis
Lineage: Eukaryota; Metazoa; Chordata; Actinopteri; Cypriniformes; Cyprinidae
Exons: 2
Source: RefSeq, a predicted model, not a curated record